AUUGAACGCUGGCGGCAUGCCUUACACAUGCAAGUCGAACGGUAACAGGUUAAGCUGACGAGUGGCGAACGGGUGAGUAAUGUAUCGGAACGUGCCCAGUCGUGGGGGAUAACUGCUCGAAAGAGCAGCUAAUACCGCAUACGACCUGAGGGGGAAAGCGGGGGAUCGCAAGACCUCGCGCGAUUGGAGCGGCCGGUAUCAGAUUAGGUAGUUGGUGAGGUAAAGGCUCACCAAGCCGACGAUCUGUAGCUGGUCUGAGAGGACGACCAGCCACACUGGGACUGAGACACGGCCCAGACUCCUACGGGAGGCAGCAGUGGGGAAUUUUGGACAAUGGGCGCAAGCCUGAUCCAGCCAUGCCGCGUGCGGGAAGAAGGCCUUCGGGUUGUAGACCGCUUUUGUCAGGGAAGAAAAGGUUCUGGCUAAUACCUGGGACUCAUGACGGUACCUGAAGAAUAAGCACCGGCUAACUACGUG
This 477-nucleotide ribosomal RNA is filed under the name uncultured bacterium. Its description in RNAcentral is "partial 16S ribosomal RNA". It matches the Rfam family "Bacterial small subunit ribosomal RNA", at positions 30 to 507 of the family's 1533-position model. The record is from RNAcentral.